CACCUCGGUGUGUACUCUGCAUCUGGUCUGAUGUGUUUUGGUGAAGUGUGAGCUGGGGUGUGAGUGCUGUGACUCAGAAACAGAGUGGCAUAAUGCUUUUAGAGGACGCGCUGGGACUGGGCCGCAGAUGUGAACCCAGGCGUUCGUCCUCCAGCGGUGCUCCCUGAAGCUCCACAGAGGCCGACACUGGCCGGAAGCAGAGCUGCGCAUGAUGUGCAAAGACAGAUGCUGUUGAUGAAGCCUGAAGCAAAAGAUGGAUUUGGAGGAGCCGGAGUGACAUGAAGAGCAGAAAGAGACGGGGUCUGGGCAGGUAAAAAACACUAUCUCAAGGGCAACUCCUUCACAUCCGCUCCGUCUGUCAGCACAGAUCUUCGUCUCGUGAGUUUUCCACAGCGAGUGGCACUCUGCAUUUUCCUGAAGGUUACUUUUGACUCUGAUCUCACCUGAAACCUCCCGUCUACCACUUAUUCUUAGCAUUUGUGGAAAAAGUCCUUUAAUGUUGCUCUGCUGAUACUUUAUCUUCUUCAGAAAUGAUUAAUGUUUUAGAAAAAUGCAGAAGUGCAAGAUCCCUGUUCUUAAGGCUUCCAUAAAUGGGACUAAAUAAAAUAUUACUCAUUCUUUAAUGGAUUUUUUUGUCCAUUUCAGUGCACAUUAGAUCAAAAAUCAGCAUACCAAAAACAAAAUAAUACAAAUUGUUGAUGUGUUACUUUACUUGAAGUUUCUUCUAGAGGUAACUUGAAAUUAGAACAUUUAACUUUUGAGUGUUAUGUUUUAUAGACUCCACAUUAUUAGAACCCACUGUUGAUAAACAUGGAUAGACAUGUU
RNAcentral lists this long non-coding RNA (825 nucleotides) under Danio rerio (zebrafish). RNAcentral describes it as "si:dkey-87f2.2 (ENSDARG00000100403.2)". Lineage: Eukaryota; Metazoa; Chordata; Actinopteri; Cypriniformes; Danionidae. The record is from RNAcentral.